This 450-nucleotide ribosomal RNA is filed under the name uncultured bacterium. RNAcentral describes it as "partial 16S ribosomal RNA". It matches the Rfam family "Bacterial small subunit ribosomal RNA", at positions 354 to 796 of the family's 1533-position model. The record is from RNAcentral.
GUGGGGAAUUUUGGACAAUGGGCGCAAGCCUGAUCCAGCAAUGCCGCGUGCAGGAAGAAGGCCUUCGGGUUGUAAACUGCUUUUGUACGGAACGAAAAGGCUCUGGUUAAUACCUGGGGCUCAUGACGGUACCGUAAGAAUAAGCACCGGCUAACUACGUGCCAGCAGCCGCGGUAAUACGUAGGGUGCAAGCGUUAAUCGGAAUUACUGGGCGUAAAGCGUGCGCAGGCGGUUUUGUAAGACAGGCGUGAAAUCCCCGGGCUCAACCUGGGAAUGGCGCUUGUGACUGCAAGGCUGGAGUGCGGCAGAGGGGGAUGGAAUUCCGCGUGUAGCAGUGAAAUGCGUAGAUAUGCGGAGGAACACCGAUGGCGAAGGCAAUCCCCUGGGCCUGCACUGACGCUCAUGCACGAAAGCGUGGGGAGCAAACAGGAUUAGAUACCCGGGUAGUCC